RNAcentral lists this unclassified non-coding RNA (329 nucleotides) under soil metagenome. Its description in RNAcentral is "partial contains 5.8S ribosomal RNA, internal transcribed spacer 2, and large subunit ribosomal RNA". The stretch from base 1 to 120 matches the Rfam family "5.8S ribosomal RNA", at positions 35 to 154 of the family's 154-position model. The record is from RNAcentral.
GAUGAAGAACGUAGCGAAAUGCGAUAAGUAAUGUGAAUUGCAGAAUUCAGUGAAUCAUCGAAUCUUUGAACGCACAUUGCGCCCUCUGGUAUUCCGGGGGGCAUGCCUGUUCGAGCGUCAUUACAACCCUCAAGCUUUGCUUGGUAUUGGACAUUGCCAGUUUCUGGCAGGUCUUAAAAUCAGUGGCGGUGCCAUUUGGCUUCAAGCGUAGUAAUUCUUCUCGCUUUGGAGAUCCAAGUGGUUACUUGCCAAUAACCCCCAAUUUUUUCAGGUUGACCUCGGAUCAGGUAGGGAUACCCGCUGAACUUAAGCAUAUCAAUAGCGGAGGA